Molecule: ribosomal RNA, 141 nt
Filed under: uncultured bacterium
Lineage: Bacteria
Description: partial 16S ribosomal RNA
Rfam family: Bacterial small subunit ribosomal RNA
Source: RNAcentral
CUACGGGAGGCAGCAGUGGGGAAUUUUGGACAAUGGGCGCAAGCCUGAUCCAGCAAUGCCGCGUGAGUGAAGAAGGCCUUCGGGUUGUAAAGCUCUUUUGUCAGGGAAGAAACGGCUGAGGCUAAUAUCCUCGGCUAAUGA